This 254-nucleotide ribosomal RNA is filed under the name uncultured bacterium. Its description in RNAcentral is "partial 16S ribosomal RNA". It matches the Rfam family "Bacterial small subunit ribosomal RNA", at positions 524 to 776 of the family's 1533-position model. The record is from RNAcentral.
UACGGGGGGGGCAAGCGUUGUUCGGAAUUACUGGGCGUAAAGGGCGCGUAGGCGGUCAGCACAAGUCAGUUGUGAAAUCUCCGGGCUUAACUCGGAAAGGUCAACUGAUACUGUGCGACUAGAGUGCGGAAGGGGCAACUGGAAUUCUCGGUGUAGCGGUGAAAUGCGUAGAUAUCGAGAGGAACACCUGCGGCGAAGGCGGGUUGCUGGGCCGACACUGACGCUGAUGCGCGAAAGCCAGGGGAGCGAACGGG